RNAcentral lists this transfer RNA (72 nucleotides) under Niastella populi. It matches the Rfam family "tRNA". From Rfam's summary of the family: Transfer RNA (tRNA) molecules are approximately 80 nucleotides in length. Their secondary structure includes four short double-helical elements and three loops (D, anti-codon, and T loops). Lineage: Bacteria; Pseudomonadati; Bacteroidota; Chitinophagia; Chitinophagales; Chitinophagaceae. The record is from Rfam by way of RNAcentral.
GUGGCUGUAGCUUAUUUGGUAAAGUACCUCACUGUGAAUGAGGGGAACAGGGUUCGAACCCCGCAGCGCACC